AAACCAGCACCUCAAGUGGUCAGGAGGAUUAUUGGGCCUAAAGCAUCCGUAGCCUGUUCUAUAAGUUUCCGGUUAAAUCCAUUAGCUCAACUAAUGGGCCGCCGAAAAUACUGUGGAACUAGGGAGUGGGAGAGGUAGACGGUACUCGGUAGGAAGGGGUAAAAUCCUUUGAUCUAUUGAUGACCACCUGUGGCGAAGGCGGUCUACCAGAACACGUUCGACGGUGAGGGAUGAAAGCUGGGGGAGCAAACCGGAUUAGAAACCCCAGUAGUCC
This 274-nucleotide ribosomal RNA is filed under the name uncultured bacterium. RNAcentral's name for it is "partial 16S ribosomal RNA". It matches the Rfam family "Archaeal small subunit ribosomal RNA", at positions 473 to 747 of the family's 1478-position model. The record is from RNAcentral.